AAUUUUCUACUAAGGUUAUGUAGUAUCUUUAUAAAGAGAAAAAGAAGUAUUUUUAACUUUUAGGAAAUUCUUUUGACUUCUGGAUUUUUUUCCAGUAUUUUGAAGUGUUUCCUCAGAAAAGAUUCGCAGAAGUAAUAUUAGUUCAAGAGGACAUUGUGAGAAUGACAUAACACCCAUGUAAAAGAACCUAAUCUAGUGCCUGGGACGUGGCAGAUGCUCAAAAGUUGGAUCUUAAAUGGAUGAACUGUCAAGUCAUCAAAACAGGGAUUCACUUAAAGAACAUAGUGUUCUGCCUUCUAGAUAAGAUGCAUUCGAUCCACUUAGCUGAAUUGUGAAACUGCAAGAUAAAGGAUAAAGAGCGCUGAACUGGGCCUCCAUAAAAGUGAACCACAGAUUUGCUCAUGAGCUGUGUGACUUUGGACCAAUCACAUUCUCUGGGCCUGUGGCCCAUAACUGAUGAGUCAUGAACAUUUAUCUGUAUGUCUGUCAUCUCCAUUAGAAUAUGUUCAUAUAGGAUUAUAUGUAUCUUGAAGA
Long non-coding RNA from Symphalangus syndactylus (siamang), 534 nucleotides. RefSeq lists it as uncharacterized. NCBI's taxonomy places the organism in Eukaryota, Metazoa, Chordata, Mammalia, Primates, Hylobatidae. The record is from RefSeq and is a predicted model, not a curated record.